GAGCUUAGGGGGGAGGGGGGGGGAUGAUUGGAGAGUGGUGGCAGGGGUGUAUAGGACAGUCCUCAUGUGACCACGAGUCCACCACAUUCUGGUUUUAAGAAACGGGAAAGCAAAGGUUGAGACUUUGAGACUGUUGGACAGCCCAUCCAUUUUUCUUUCCGCAACGCCUCUUAUGGAAAAUUAAGCUACUUUUUAGUAUAUGAUCUGUAGCCAAAAGCAUCACUAGCUUACAUUUUGAGUAGCACGGGGUAAAUGGAAUCCCGUGUGAAUCAGCGAGGACCACCUUGCAAGGCUAGAUACUCCUGGGUGAUUGAUAGCAAAGUAGCACGUUGAUGGAGGGUGAAAAGAACCCCCAUCGUGGAGUGAAGUAGAAUAUGAAACCGUAAGCUC
Ribosomal RNA from Beta vulgaris subsp. vulgaris (sugar beet), 390 nucleotides. It matches the Rfam family "Bacterial large subunit ribosomal RNA", at positions 15 to 565 of the family's 2925-position model. The record is from Rfam. NCBI's taxonomy places the organism in Eukaryota, Viridiplantae, Streptophyta, Magnoliopsida, Caryophyllales, Amaranthaceae.